GCAAGGUUAAAGAUGUGAGUCUAAUUUUAUUCUCCGAAUCCUAUGAAAAUAAAACAUGCAUUCUUGCCACUUACUCGUACAAGAUGUGACAUGGAUUAGUUUUCUCUGCCUAGAAAAUAAAUUGUUUUCUUUGAUUAUAGACCAUGUUAAAGAAGUAUCCUUUUUUAUGUCCUAGCAUUUUCAUGGAAAAGCAUGAAUGUUUCCCUCAAUGCAAAGUAUUUGGGAUGCUGCUCAAUUGGAUUACAUCCCAACAAACCCAUCAAUGACUUCAAAGCUGAGCCUCUUCCAAAGGAGGCAGUCACCAGUGCCUAAAAAUAAAGGUGGUUUCAGUUGUUUUUGUUUUAAUCUAGACUAGAAUGCUACUGAAAAUAGUAACAUUCUCU
Molossus molossus (Pallas's mastiff bat) is the source of this 383-nucleotide long non-coding RNA. RefSeq lists it as uncharacterized. The record is from RefSeq and is a predicted model, not a curated record. The transcript has 3 exons. Lineage: Eukaryota; Metazoa; Chordata; Mammalia; Chiroptera; Molossidae.